UGGACCAUGUCGCCACCUUCCUGUUCAAGUGAGCACAGCACAACAAGGUGGCUCUGUAUAUCUGGGAGAAUGGCCAAGGGCCUCGUCUGACGGCAGUCCCAGAGCUGUGUACUGAGCCAGAACACUCUCCCACUGCCCAACACUGUGCUACCACGCUCAGGAGACCUGCUCCCCUGUGUCUUUCUUACUUGGUGCACUUGAUUGGGGUUUAAAUGGAAUUGCACCAAUGGAAUAGUCCCAAAAGUGCCAACACCACCCACUAAAACCAAGUAUUUUGGAGGAAAAAGAUGCAUGCUUUGGACCCAAGUCUGCUCCACCCCCCAGGAACGAUGAUUAAGUCAGUCUAUAUGCAUGCAAACUAUCAGAAAGUUGGAGAGGAAUCUCAGGAUGACCUUAUUGCUCAAAUCUUCUUUCUCCCUCAAGCGAUAUUUUAAAGAACUCUCAAAUCCUCUUCCAGUACUUUACAUUCCUGGGUGAGACACUCUUCAGCAGGCUACACCCUCCAUACUGGAAUUCCGUCUCAUAGCGGCGGGCAGCUGCAGCCCUCAAGAGCCGUGUUGGUGUCACACCUUUUCUCCAGCCCCACAGCAGUACACCUGAUGAAUCCAAUUGUGGGCUAAAAUAAAAAGUAGUUAUUCGUUCAUUUAAAUCAGGUGUGAAGUGCUGAAAAGUGUGAUGCCAGCAACAUGGCCAUUGAGGACUGCCGCUGCCCACCCAACACAAACCACUGUGUUGAGCUCUGGCCUAUUAGUUUGAACUCAGAUACGCUUAAUAUAUGCCCUCUGUUCUUGGUGCCUGUCAGUCUGUCUGACUUGUACCCCUGGAAGUGUUGCCUUUCCUCAGCCUGAUCUGAACAUUUGAUAAAGUGCUCAGAGAGAACAAGGUGCCCUCUCUCCUUUUACUCUUUCUCCUGGCUCUCUCCUUUUAGUCUUUCUUCUACCCUUCCUCCCUCCUACCAUUCCUCCCUAAUUGUAUUACAUUUAAAUUA
Molecule: long non-coding RNA, 988 nt
Filed under: Salmo salar (Atlantic salmon)
Lineage: Eukaryota; Metazoa; Chordata; Actinopteri; Salmoniformes; Salmonidae
Description: lncRNA (ENSSSAG00000119885.1)
Source: RNAcentral